Molecule: ribosomal RNA, 811 nt
Filed under: uncultured archaeon
Lineage: Archaea
Description: bacterial SSU rRNA
Rfam family: Archaeal small subunit ribosomal RNA
Source: RNAcentral
UCGGCGCGUAUCGCCUUACUGCUCAGUAACACGUGGACAACCUACCCUUAGGUCGGGGAUAAACCCGGGAAACUGGGUAUAAUACCCGAUAGAUCUCGACUGCUGGAAUGCAUCGAGAUCCAAAGCUCCGGCGCCUAAGGAUGGGUCUGCGGCCUAUCAGGUAGUAGUGGGUGUAGCGUACCUACUAGCCUACGACGGGUACGGGUUGUGAGAGCAAGAGCCCGGAGAUGGAUUCUGAGACACGAAUCCAGGCCCUACGGGGUGCAGCAGGCGCGAAAACUUUACAAUGCUGGAAACAGCGAUAAGGGGACCUCGAGUGCCAGGUUACAAAUCUGGCUGUCGUGAUGCCUAAAAAGCAUUGCAUAGCAAGGGCCGGGCAAGACCGGUGCCAGCCGCUGCGGUAACACCGGCGGCUCGAGUGGUAACCGUUAUUAUUGGGUCUAAAGGGUCUGUAGCCGGCCGGAUAAGUCUCUUGGGAAAUCUGGCAGCUUAACUGUCAGGCUUUCAGGAGAUACUGUCUGGCUCGAGGCCGGGAGAGGUGGGAGGUACUUCAGGGGUAGGGGUGAAAUCUUGUAAUCCUUGAAGGACCACCAGUGGCGAAGGCGUCUCACCAGAACGGACCUGACGGCAAGGGACGAAAGCUAGGGGCACGAACCGGAUUAGAUACCCGGGUAGUCCUAGCCGUAAACGAUACUCGCUAGGUGUCGGCCACGGUGCGACCGUUGUCGGUGCCGUAGGGAAGCCGUGAAGCGAGCCACCUGGGAAGUACGGCCGCAAGGCUGAAACUUAAAGGAAUUGGCGGGGGGAGCAC